CCUCAUCUUGGCGUUGAGCAGCGCCACGAAGCCCGGCCUGAGCGUGUCGCAGUAGACCAGGAACAUCGCCGUCACGGAGUACCCCUCAUCCCACCUUUCUCCCUGCCCCUGCUGCACCCAGUACGCCGGUCUGUAGCCCGCCCUGUACACGAUGUAGUCGGCGAUGCCCUCGAUGAGGCCGCGGCUCGCCUGCCCCUGCCCGUCCCACUGCCACACGUGCGUCGUCUCGUGGAACAGCACGCUGGCCACCUGCAAAAACACAUUCAUGCGUUUCAUCAUUUGUUUGCCCAUUAGUUGAGAUCUGACUUUCUUUCAAUCCUUCCUCUUUUAUCCUGGUUUAAAGUAGAUCCGAGAUAAAAGGUUCACAGACCGGGACUAAAACUUAGCCACUGAUGGGGGCUCACCAACCGGGACUAAAGAACUCCUUUAAUCCCGGUUGUAAAGGCCAGUGGCCCUGACGAGCCUUUUCUCCCGGAUAGAAACACCAACCGGGAUUAAAGGACGCCCCUUUAGUCCCGGUUGGUGUUUUCAACCGGGACUAAUGCUUUUAGUCCCGGUUAGAAACACCAACCGGGACUAAAAGGGGGUCCUUUAAUCCCGGUUGGUGUUGCCAACUGGGAGAAAAAGGUCGUCGAUCACCUCGUUUCGCGCCCCCUCCCCCCACCACUCCACCUCCUCUAUCUAUCUCAAAAAAUGCACAUCCUCUAUCUGUCUCAGAAAAUGCACAGGUACUUCCUCCUUCCUUAUCCUCUCCUCCUCCUUCCUUAUCCUCUCCUCCCUCCCACCCUCCUUCUUCCUUAUCCUUUCUUCUUUUCCCAUGCGUAGGCGGGCGGCGGGCGCGCGAAACCGAGCGAGGUGCGAGCGGGGGAGGUAGGUCGGGGCGGCGGCGGGCCGACGGCGCCGCGCCGUGGAGGCGGCGACGCUUUUCCCACGCGCAGGCGGGCGGCGGGCGCACGGAACCGAGCGAGGUACGAGCGGGGGAGGCAGGUCGGGGCGGUGGCGGGCCGACGGCGCCGCGCCGUGGAGGCGGCGACGCUUUUCCCACGCGCAGGCGGGCGGCGGGCGCACGGAACCGAGCGAGGCGAGCGGGGGAGGCGGGUCGAGGCGGCGGUGGGGCGGCGGCGGCGGGCCGAGGACGGCACGCGGGGAAGGCGGCGGCAGGUACUCUCCUUCCUCCCUCCUUCUUCCUUAUUCUCUCCUCCCUCCUUCUUCUUCCUUAUCCUUUCUUCUCUUUUCCCACAUAGGUGGGCGCGCGGCAUGCGGAACGAGGUGCGAGCGGGGCUUGUGGGUCAAGGCGGUGGCAGCGGGCGCGGCUGGCGAGCAGCCGGCCGACGGCGCGCGGGAGCCGGAGGUGGAGGCCGCACGGGUGCACGGCGCGGAGGCGGGCGCCGGCGGCGGCGGGGUGGGGCGGGGCGGGGCGGGGCCGAUGGGCGGUGCGGGUGAAGCAGUGGGGUGGCGUGGGAGCCGAGGUAGGCGGAUGCCCGCCGGUGCUUUUUUUUUUAUUUUUUUUGGAAAACUAUUUUAUCCCGGUUGGGAAUACCAACCAGGAUAAAUGUUGCUUUAGUCCCGGUCGAGGAACCCGGGAUAAAAGACACCUCCUUUUGUCUCGAUUGAUUAAUCACGGAUGGUUUUUCGGGAGAUUUACGCCCUACCAAUCGGGACUAAUACUCAGUUCUCUACCAGUGCGCGCCUGUCCUAGCUCGAGACAUGAGAGAGAGCUAAACAAACUCACCUCGAUUCUGACAUUGCCGGAGUAGUUGCCGAUGUACUGGGCGCUGAGGGUGAUGACGUCGUUGCUGGUGAAGGCGACGCCGCCGACGUCGGCGACGACGAGGGCGAUCGCGUCGACGGGCUUGCGGUCGGCGGGGUUGGUCUGGUUGAAGGUCAUCCAGAUGAACAUGGACGCUUCAGAGAUGAUCUGCCUCGGGAAAUCGAGGCCGACUUCCCGGUCGAACCGCUGGCCGCCGAGGGUGUUGGACGCCGUGUUCGUCACGUCGAUCGUGACGAUGGCGCCGGCCGUCGCGGCAAGGGCAAGCAGGAGGGAUGCGACCGCGGCGAUGCGAAGCAGCUUCAUCUUGUGCUGGUGCUGCACUUCUUGCUAUGGGAUUAGCUACUCGGGAUUGGGGGUAUAUUUAUAGUGCGUAUGUUACAGGGGAAGAGAAGCUCUGAUGAGAAGUUUAGUUUCUCAGUGAAGCUGAUCUAGUGUAGGGUUUACUCAAAUGAACUGACUCUAGAGCUGAUCUUGAACUUCAUGUUACGACUGCUAAUCCAUAGAUGCAAUUUUCUUCGUCUGCGGAAAUGUGUCAAUGAAGAACAUUGACGAGUAUACUAUUGGU
Molecule: long non-coding RNA, 2336 nt
Filed under: Setaria viridis
Lineage: Eukaryota; Viridiplantae; Streptophyta; Magnoliopsida; Poales; Poaceae
Description: long non-coding RNA (SVIR_LNC010264)
Source: RNAcentral